CAGUCGCCGCGGGAAUACGUAGGGUGCAAGCGUUAAUCGGAAUUACUGGGCGUAAAGCGUGCGCAGGCGGUUAUAUAAGACAGAUGUGAAAUCCCCGGGCUCAACCUGGGAACUGCAUUUGUGACUGUAUAGCUAGAGUACGGCAGAGGGGGAUGGAAUUCCGCGUGUAGCAGUGAAAUGCGUAGAUAUGCGGAGGAACACCGAUGGCGAAGGCAAUCCCCUGGGCCUGUACUGACGCUCAUGCACGAAAGCGUGGGGAGCAAACAGGAUUAGAUACCCCCGUAGUCCUGUCUCUAUACAC
This 301-nucleotide ribosomal RNA is filed under the name uncultured bacterium. RNAcentral describes it as "partial 16S ribosomal RNA". It matches the Rfam family "Bacterial small subunit ribosomal RNA", at positions 509 to 809 of the family's 1533-position model. The record is from RNAcentral.